UACUAGAGUAGCACUCGCAUAUCAAUAAGCGGAGGAAAAGAAACUAACAAGGAUUCCCCUAGUAACGGCGAGUGAAGCGGGAAGAGCUCAAAUUUGAAAUCUUAAAGGGUUUCCCUUUACGAAUUGUAGUUUAAAGAAGUGUUUUCUGUUGAGGUUUUGGUAAAAGUUCUUUGGAAUAGGACAUCAUAGAGGGUGAGAAUCUCGUAUUUGACCUUUACUUUCAACUUUGUGAUACACUUUCAAAGAGUCGGAUUGUUUGGGAAUGCAGUCCAAAAUGGGUGGUAAAUUUCAUCUAAAGCUAAAUAUUGGCGAGAGACCGAUAGCGAACAAGUACCGUGAGGGAAAGAUGAAAAGAACUUUGAAAAGAGAGUUAAACAGUACGUGAAAUUGUCAAAAGGGAAGCGUUUGACACCAGUGUUGUUUUUCUGAAAAUCAAUUAAAGAACUGUUUAUGCUAAGCUGUUUAGACUUUAUCAGCUAUCCUGUUUAGUUUUGAGCUUUUCUUUAAUGCACUUUUCAGUUAACAAGUCAACAUCAAUUUCUUUUGCUGUAAAAAAGCUUGAGGAAGGUGGCUUGAGAUUCGUCUUAAGUGUUUAUAGCCUCUUGCCUAUGCAGUCGGAGAGAUUGAGGUCUGCAGCGUAGAUCCUUCGGGGCUAAAUGCAUUUGUGCUAAGUUAUAGCAUUUUAUAGACAACUUGUUGACUAUGAUUUGUCUUGUAGCUUACUCGCUUAUGUUAUUUUACCUACGCUUAGGAUGUUGAUCUACAGAGCGAGAGU
This 775-nucleotide ribosomal RNA is filed under the name uncultured Neocallimastigales. RNAcentral's name for it is "partial large subunit ribosomal RNA". It matches the Rfam family "Eukaryotic large subunit ribosomal RNA", at positions 20 to 635 of the family's 3401-position model. Lineage: Eukaryota; Fungi; Neocallimastigomycota; Neocallimastigomycetes; Neocallimastigales. The record is from RNAcentral.